GUUUGUUCCAUUCCUCGGAGCUCUGGGGCUCUGCUGAGGGUCUCCGAACUGGGUGGGCAGGGCUCCAGGCAUCCACGCCCACUCCUGCCCUUCAGAUGUUUUGACUGAUUGAACGAACAUCCAGGUCAGAUUUUAUUUAAAGAAAAUGUAUUUUCAGUGGACAUUUGCAGAGGGCUGACCUGGAGUCAGGGAGGCCUGGGAAGUGCUGGGCCCUGGAGACUGUGGGGUCGGAGGCUCAAAGUCCCGGGUCCUGUGUAGCCUUGAGCAGAGCGGCUAGCCUUUCUGGGCCUCAUCUGUCCUUCUGGGAAGUGGAGUCACAGCUGCCCGACAGGAGCUGAGUGCAGGGCUGGGGGACUGUGGUGCUUGGAGGUGCAGAGGUUUCAGACUUCCCCUGCCCUGGGGCACCUGCUGCUUGGUCGAGCCAGCCUUCCACGGGUUGGAGAGCUUGCCUGUAGCACCUGGCAUCCCUUGUCUAGCACACGCCCAUCACCAAGGUGUGCCCUCACUGAGAGCAGGAGUGGCAGGGGCUCAGUACUGUCGGCCCCAAGCUGUGACUCUGGCGCUAACCCACAGGGGGCGAUCCAGCUCAGAGCAUCCUGCCGUGGGGGGCUUGCUCCCAGCAUCCUGGAGGAAACACUGAGCAGGUGGCACCUCCAGAACCUCCGUUAAGGGCGCCUCACCUCACCAUGGUGGUCCCAGGGUGGGGGAACCCAUGAGGACCUCAGUUGCCAGCCUUAUUGGGGCCCCAGGACACAGCAGACCCAUAGGGGCCCUCCGGGAGGAUGUCCUGGCUUCCCUGGACAUAAAGCUGUCCCAGGACCUACGCCUCAUUGAGGGGCCUCAAGGCCGAGGCCCUGGGCCUGGCCUCUCCUCCCCGCCACAGUGGAGCCCCUGCAGGCCUGACCAUCAGACCCCGGGGCCCACCAUCUCCCAGUUUUCAUUCUAGCAACAAGACAGCCCAGGAGUUUGGGGGUGGGGCAGGGAUGUGUCCCAGUUGGCUGUCCUCGCCAUGGGGCUCUUCUCCAUCCCUCGGGGCGGGAGGGGGCUGUUGGAGUGAGAGGGAAGGAGUCCUGCCCUCCCCUUUGCAAGGAGCCAGAGCUUCACUUGGGAGGCCUGCGAUGUUUAUGCAGUUCCAGGGCCACACUGGGCCAGGGCAGGGAACUGAGGACGGGAGUGGGAGGGGCUUUAGGAAAACCAGACCUACCACCUUCCCUCUGGCCCUCCCAAGAGAUGCAGCUCUCCCUAGUGAGAUGCUCUGGGAGUAGGGAGAGGGACAUGGAGGGGAGGAGAGCUGGCUUCAUGUGUGAGCUUCAUGAAAGCCAGACGGAGAUGGAGAGUCUUGGAGGUCCUCUCCGCCAGGAUUCCAGAUCUUUCCAGAGUGAUCUCAGGGCUUUGCAAAGCAGAAACCAGGCCCAGAUGGAAGCCCACAGGGAGACCUCACCCAGGGCUGUCGGCUCUUCAGAAAUGUCCCUUCCUGUGGCUGCAAGACUGUGGGUGAAUCCUGGGGUCCGGGCUUGGCUGCUGUGAGCCGCUGCCUCCCGGCUGAUAAACAUCGGCCCAGGGAGCUGAGACACCGAGGCCCUGGAGAAGACCAGUGCAGGUGAGAGGUGCUCUGCUAAAACCACAGCUUGGGGGUGGCGUCUCCACUCACACCCCGUACGGGAAAGCAGCUAUUUCUACAAUAACGGCUUCCACAUCGAUGGAAGGACCACCAGCAGGGCUGCAGGCCAGGUGGUCACUGCUAAACUCGCCUUGGAGAGAGGAAGCCUGGAUUAUCUGUCAGGUCCAGGGGGACGAUGCUCCAUUGGGCCCCCAGCUUCAUGGGGCUGCUACCUUGGUCUGGAGACCCUCCGUGUGUGAGGAGUUUGCACCCUUCAGAGUUUCAGCUGGAAAGUGGAUCUAUCGUCUUGGUGCUUCAGAGGAAACUUCUACAAUAUUCAGAUGGACGGGGCUCUCAGCCCCUCGACCACAAGGCUGUUCCAGCCUGAGCAGGGGUACCCUGCCCUGGAAUGAAUGAGCUCCGCAAAUACUCAUCUCUGGGCAGCUGCCAAGUCUGGCCCCACUCCAGAGGACCGAGUGCUUGCAUCUGUCCCACUUCCCUUGGCAUGAAGGCCCCUGGCUGUCAGGGUGGGGCAGAGCUCCAGAGCCAGCCUUGGUGCUGGGACCCGGCCGAGCGAGGAGCUGCGGUGCCCAGGCCACAUGGCGUUCCCUGGUGAGGAGACGAUGUGAUGGCCACCAACACCCUUGGAACCCGUGUCGGCCCCAGUGCGAGUCAAGUGGACCCCUGCUGUCCUCCCGAGAAGUGUGACCAUUUAGUCUGAGGGGAGGGACAGUGGCAUCCUGAACCCCCACAGUGGCUGAGAAGGCUUCCAGCUGCCCAGCUGCCCUCUCUGCCCAGGAGGAGACGCUAUGCCAAGGCCCAGCUGUGGGAGAGUCUGCGUUUCCCGUGCCAUCCACUUGGAAAGGGCCUUCGUGCAGUCAGGGACUGGUGUGAUGGGGAGAAGGAGCCCAGUUUUCUUCUUGGGCGUUCCAGCCAAAUCAGGCUUGUUGAAGCCCUUCCCUGACUGCCAAGAGGGAGACCACUGCCUCCAGCCGGGAGUGCAGGAUGCCCAUUCUCACGUGGAUUCUCGUCCAUUGGAAUCUGGAGACAGGCCUGGACUUGGAGCCUUCUGCUCGUUGUCUGACCACAGGCAAGCCACUCCACCUCUCUGAGCUUUGGUCUUCUCGUUUGCACAAUAGGCAACUGGAAGUGAAAGUAUGGUGAGUAGUUUCUAGACACCGGGCACUGCGUCAGGGGCUCUCGCACUUGUGUUCGUCAUAAGCUCCGUGGCUGCCACAUAGGUGGUGACUAUGCCGGGGACCACUGUCUGGCCCCAGAGGUGACUUAUUCUCUUUAUUCUGCUGCGAAACCCUCAGCCCCUCAACUGCAGAGAUUGCUCCUUCCAUUCUUGGCGCUCAGCCCUGUGACUCCCACAUGGAAGGUUCUUGACUAGAUGUUGCAUGGAUGCAUACUAAGUGGGAGGGAGCUCACUUCUGGCUUUCACACAUCAAAUUAAAUUUUCAUGAACUCAUGAAUCAACAAGAGAAACUAAGCAGCAUUUUACUGAACACCUACUAUGUCUGAUGAUUUACAUGGGUUUUCUUAUUUAGUCUUCACAGUAAUCCUGUGAAGUACUCUCUCUUCCGUUUUGCAAGUUAGGAAAUUGUGGAAGCUCACGCCUUGUCAAGAUUAGUCAACAUGUAAGAGGGAGGAGCAGGAUUUGAAUUGGAGUCUGAUCCCUCGGACUGUGCUCUUUGCAUUCCACCAGGCUGCCAACAGGGAGACGCCUGCUAGACCGUGGUUGUUACAAAGCAGAAUCGUGGUCUAGCAGGGGGAAUAAUGCAUCCCAACCAGCGUCAGAAGGAGGCGCCAGCAGAAGGCCCGCUGCUCCCACGGGCUAAGGGGAUGAAUGACGGAGGCCAGGACCUUCCCAGGGCGUGCCUGCAGGCUUCUCCACCUAGACUGUCGUGGCCCAACCUCAGGCCAGCCCAGGCAACAGCGAGGCAAGGCCCGGCCUGGGUCUGCCGCCUCUCAGCCCAUUGGCCCUGUGGAUGCUGCGUUGCAAAACCACACUGUUUUGUUCUGACUUCCUCUUGGGUUCCCAGGAAGUUUAUUUACAGAAGUAAAAUUGCCUCGUAACGUAAAAAAAUAUUUUUUUUGCUGUGGUAAAAUAUACACAACACAAAAUUUACCAUUUUAACCACUUAAUGUAAAAAUGUACAACUGCAUGGUGUUAGUUCACAAUGUGCACAUUCCAGAUGUUGCAUAGCCAUCACCGCCAUUUGUCCCCAG
RNAcentral lists this long non-coding RNA (3832 nucleotides) under Equus caballus (horse). RNAcentral's name for it is "lncRNA (ENSECAG00000040621.3)". The record is from RNAcentral. Lineage: Eukaryota; Metazoa; Chordata; Mammalia; Perissodactyla; Equidae.